This 163-nucleotide unclassified non-coding RNA is filed under the name Lacticaseibacillus paracasei. Its description in RNAcentral is "partial 16S-23S ribosomal RNA intergenic spacer region". The stretch from base 1 to 97 matches the Rfam family "Bacterial small subunit ribosomal RNA", at positions 1439 to 1533 of the family's 1533-position model. The record is from RNAcentral. Lineage: Bacteria; Bacillati; Bacillota; Bacilli; Lactobacillales; Lactobacillaceae.
CCUUUUAGGGAGCGAGCCGUCUAAGGUGGGACAAAUGAUUAGGGUGAAGUCGUAACAAGGUAGCCGUAGGAAAACCUGCGGCUGGAUCACCUCCUUUCUAAGGAAACAGACUGAAAGUCUGACGGAAACCUGCACACACGAAACUUUGUUUAGUUUUGAGAGC